CGAUGAUCUCCCGCUUGCGGGGGUGAUUAGUGGCGAACGGGUGAGUAAUACGUGAGUAACCUGCCCUUGACUCUGGGAUAAGCCUGGGAAACCGGGUCUAAUACUGGAUACGACCUCCUGUCGCAUGGUGGGGGGUGGAAAGGGUUUGACUGGUUUUGGAUGGGCUCACGGCCUAUCAGCUUGUUGGUGGGGUAAUGGCUCACCAAGGCGACGACGGGUAGCCGGCCUGAGAGGGUGACCGGCCACACUGGGACUGAGACACGGCCCAGACUCCUACGGGAGGCAGCAGUGGGGAAUAUUGCACAAUGGGCGCAAGCCUGAUGCAGCGACGCCGCGUGAGGGAUGACGGCCUUCGGGUUGUAAACCUCUUUCAGCAGGGAAGAAGCCACAAGUGACGGUACCUGCAGAAGAAGCGCCGGCUAACUACGUGCCAGCAGCCGCGGUAAUACGUAGGGCGCAAGCGUUGUCCGGAAUUAUUGGGCGUAAAGAGCUCGUAGGCGGUUUGUCGCGUCUGCUGUGAAAGCCCGGGGCUCAACCCCGGGUCUGCAGUGGGUACGGGCAGACUAGAGUGCAGUAGGGGAGACUGGAAUUCCUGGUGUAGCGGUGAAAUGCGCAGAUAUCAGGAGGAACACCGAUGGCGAAGGCAGGUCUCUGGGCUGUUACUGACGCUGAGGAGCGAAAGCAUGGGGAGCGAACAGGAUUAGAUACCCUGGUAGUCCAUGCCGUAAACGUUGGGCACUAGGUGUGGGGGACAUUCCACGUUCUCCGCGCCGUAGCUAACGCAUUAAGUGCCCCGCCUGGGGAGUAC
Molecule: ribosomal RNA, 808 nt
Filed under: Kocuria sp.
Lineage: Bacteria; Bacillati; Actinomycetota; Actinomycetes; Micrococcales; Micrococcaceae
Description: bacterial SSU rRNA
Rfam family: Bacterial small subunit ribosomal RNA
Source: RNAcentral